CUAGGUGCCUAAACUCUGAUACCACCUGACGCAGGAGGGUAUGGGAAGGAUCGUUUUGACUUUUGAAACCUCAACCUAACAGAUGCAAAUUUAGACAUUUAACCACCUAAUUAACCUCUCCCUCUACUUGAAUCUACAACCAAGAUUAUGGCAUGAAAAAAAUAAGAAAUAGAGAAACAAAAAUAGGAAAAGAUAGAUGCCAUGGACUUACCCGAUAUGUCAAUCCUAACUCCUCGGUUCAACAAGACUUUAGAAAGCUCUUUAUUUUUGAAGAACUUUAAGAAGAAAAAUCAACCACGGACUUACCAGAUAAGUUGAUCCCAAUUCCUCGGGUGGGCGCAUGGGUUGCGCACAUAUAUCGUGCAGUGUUGGGCGUGCACGUGUUUGGCACGAGGCGAGCACUCGGCUUCUUGCACACAUGCAUUUUGCAAGCAUACUUAGCACACUGGGCGUGCUAGAUGGCUUGUUCGCGUACGCCUAUAGGCUGUGUAAGCAGGUAGCCACUUACGUGCUUUAGUGUACGCUGUGGGGUAUGCAUGCACUACUGCUUGCAAGUCCCACGUGCGUGACCAUAUGAUCUAAAUGUUAGAAUGUGCAAAGGGCCAUGUUUCGCACGUGUGAAGGCCACACAUGUGUGGUCCAUGAAUAUCUAUACCCACAUCACAUGUUGUACUUCUUCUUGGGUCGAGACUCGUGGGCCGAGUCUUUCGUUGGCUGUAAGGCCCAAUAGCUUUUAGUUUUCCUGUCUUUUUUUAUUAUGUCUCUUUUUAGACCAAGAUCUAGGUGUAAUUGAUCUAGAUUUUUUUCUUGUACUUGCACCUUGGUGGUUCAGCUUAGUCUUUAUCUAUCCAUGAAUACUUACGAACAUGUCCAAGAAGCUCAUUAUUGUUUAACCUUUUCUAUCCUUCAGUGGUCUCAAAAACUUUAUGUUUAGUACUAGUCUUUUUCUUAGUCAUUAUUACAUCCUAUCUUUAUGGUAAAAACUUUAAGAACUUCAUUGAUCACAAGAGCCU
This 1013-nucleotide long non-coding RNA is filed under the name Carica papaya (papaya). Its description in RNAcentral is "long non-coding RNA (CPAP_LNC010646)". Lineage: Eukaryota; Viridiplantae; Streptophyta; Magnoliopsida; Brassicales; Caricaceae. The record is from RNAcentral.